This 497-nucleotide ribosomal RNA is filed under the name Bacillus mojavensis. RNAcentral describes it as "bacterial SSU rRNA". It matches the Rfam family "Bacterial small subunit ribosomal RNA", at positions 75 to 555 of the family's 1533-position model. The record is from RNAcentral. Lineage: Bacteria; Bacillati; Bacillota; Bacilli; Caryophanales; Bacillaceae.
GGAGCUUGCUCCCUGAUGUUAGCGGCGGACGGGUGAGUAACACGUGGGUAACCUGCCUGUAAGACUGGGAUAACUCCGGGAAACCGGGGCUAAUACCGGAUGCUUGUUUGAACCGCAUGGUUCAAAUAUAAAAGGUGGCUUUUAGCUACCACUUACAGAUGGACCCGCGGCGCAUUAGCUAGUUGGUGAGGUAACGGCUCACCAAGGCAACGAUGCGUAGCCGACCUGAGAGGGUGAUCGGCCACACUGGGACUGAGACACGGCCCAGACUCCUACGGGAGGCAGCAGUAGGGAAUCUUCCGCAAUGGACGAAAGUCUGACGGAGCAACGCCGCGUGAGUGAUGAAGGUUUUCGGAUCGUAAAACUCUGUUGUUAGGGAAGAACAAGUACCGUUCGAAUAGGGCGGUACCUUGACGGUACCUGACCAGAAAGCCACGGCUAACUACGUGCCAGCAGCCGCGGUAAUACGUAGGUGGCAAGCGUUGUCCGGAAUUAUU